RNAcentral lists this ribosomal RNA (494 nucleotides) under uncultured bacterium. Its description in RNAcentral is "partial 16S ribosomal RNA". It matches the Rfam family "Bacterial small subunit ribosomal RNA", at positions 28 to 507 of the family's 1533-position model. The record is from RNAcentral.
GACGAACGCUGGCGGCGUGCUUAACACAUGCAAGUCGAACGGAAAGGCCUGCUUUCCCUUGUGGAUUGCGGGUACUCGAGUGGCGAACGGGUGAGUAACACGUGAGUGAUCUGCCCCCAACUUGGGUAUAAGCCUGGGAAACUGGGUCUAAUUCCCGAUAGGACUGCAGGGUGGCGCCUGUGGUGGAAAACGAUUUUCUAGUGGUUGGGGAUGAGCUCGCGGCCUAUCAGCUUGUUGGUGGGGUAAUGGCCUACCAAGGCGGCGACGGGUAGCCGGCCUGGGAGGGUGGACGGCCACAUUGGGACUGAGAUACGGCCCAGACUCCUACGGGAGGCAGCAGUGGGGAAUAUUGCACAAUGGGCGGAAGCCUGAUGCAGCGACGCCGCGUGGGGGAUGACGGCCUUCGGGUUGUAAACUCCUUUCGACCGCGAGGAAGCCACCUGGUUGGAAGGGUGGUGACGGUAGUGGUAGAAGAAGCACCGGCUAACUACGUG